Molecule: ribosomal RNA, 258 nt
Filed under: uncultured bacterium
Lineage: Bacteria
Description: partial 16S ribosomal RNA
Rfam family: Bacterial small subunit ribosomal RNA
Source: RNAcentral
GUAUCCUGGCUCAGGAUGAACGCUAGCUACAGGCUUAACACAUGCAAGUCGAGGGGCAGCAUAAACUUAGCUUGCUAAGUUUGAUUGGCGACCGGCGCACGGGUGAGUAACACGUAUCCAACCUUCCGGUUUAACUAAGGGAUAGCCUUUCGGAAAGGAAAGAUUAAUACCUGAUAGUAUGGUGAGAUUGCAUGAUAAACACCGAUUAAAGAUUUAUUGGUAAACGAUAAGGAUGCGUUCCAUUAGGUAGUAGGCGGG